UUUUUCUUUUACUGAUAGGCAGAAAACAGAGAAGGGGUUGAGUUUUUGAUUUUUCUUUAGACUUUACCUCUAAGAAAAACUAACAUAUAAAGAACACACAGUAAUAGACUUGAGAGGGGGAAGUUUCGAGUUCUGUUUUCUUUUCUGAAACUCUAAUUGAAGUUUCUUCAUCGGAAUCCUUUAGUGGUGGUGGAAUCGUCUUCAACAGCUCGAGUUCAGUUCGCUGCCCCAAGAAAGGUAACUUCACUUCCUUUUGUAUUUUGUCCCAAUGUUGUGUGUUGUAUGUUCCAUGCUUGGUGUAGAAUCUGAUGUUAAAUGUACUUGGUUCCUAGUAUUAGUGUUUUCUUUAUCGUUGCCUACUUUGUGAAUUUCUGGGCUGCAACAUGAAUCUCAUUGAUUAAGUCUCUUCGGCAUUAUGUUGAUAGAUCAGCUGGUUCGAUGUUAUGUGUGUAUAGCUAGCUGGAUCUCUGCUUUAUUUUGUUUGAUAUGAAUUGGGAUCAUUUAAUUUUGACUUCUAAUGCAUUAGCUGUAUAGUUCGGUUUCCUCAUUGUUUACUCGUUUUCUUGGGUCUCUUUUUCUGUUGUUUGACCUAUCAUUAUGAACUCUCACCAAUGCUAGCAUAAUCUCAUAGUAUUUAUCUAUAUACUUGAACACUGCUCAUUCAACUCUAAUUCCUCUUAAUUUUAAGCAUGUUUUCAACAGUUGUGAAGUAAUAUAUAGUUCCUUUACUUACUUUAGUCAUCACUGGCUCAUUUCUUUCUUCCUUUCACAUGCUUAAUUCAACGUUAUAAGCGGUUAACGCCUAUUGGAGCCUUAGGUGUUCUAAGAUUGCUUUUCUUCGAAUAUGUGUUUCGUUCUCUUUAAGUUUGCGAUACAUGAGGCAUUUGCUUGGCAUGAACUUUGCAUUUAGAUUGGGUUAAUGGGUUAUUUUUUCUGGAAAAGAUUUGCUUUCAAGUUAAAAUCAGAUUAGUAGUUAUUGCUUCCCUCAAUGAGUUCCAUGUCUUUCAAGUGUUGGAAUU
Molecule: long non-coding RNA, 1019 nt
Filed under: Solanum tuberosum (potato)
Lineage: Eukaryota; Viridiplantae; Streptophyta; Magnoliopsida; Solanales; Solanaceae
Description: long non-coding RNA (STUB_LNC005819)
Source: RNAcentral